This 247-nucleotide long non-coding RNA is filed under the name Populus trichocarpa (black cottonwood). RNAcentral describes it as "long non-coding RNA (PTRI_LNC004842)". The record is from RNAcentral. Lineage: Eukaryota; Viridiplantae; Streptophyta; Magnoliopsida; Malpighiales; Salicaceae.
AAAACCCUAAACCACAAAAAACCCUAAAAACCUAACUCUUUCUGCCUACUCACCCAAGCAGCCGCCGUUCCCCGGGGUCCUUGGCUUUUGCUCUCCCAGAACCAGAGAGCCAAGGACCCCUCGCCAUUUGAAAUCAGCCCUUCUCCCCCUUUGGCCGCUCAUCCUUUGGAAACCAGAGCUCCCCUUCUCCUCUCACGGCCCCCAAAAACAUUUUGUCCUUCUCACAGCCGACCCCAACAGCCCCAUC